Non-coding RNA from Epinephelus lanceolatus (giant grouper), 82 nucleotides. Lineage: Eukaryota; Metazoa; Chordata; Actinopteri; Perciformes; Serranidae. The record is from the annotation of a RefSeq genome assembly.
ACCAGGAUGGCUGAGUGGUUAAGGCGUUGGACUUAAGAUCCAAUAGACGUAGUCUUCGUGGGUUCGAACCCCACUCCUGGUA